This 71-nucleotide transfer RNA is filed under the name Streptomyces sp. SID2888. Its description in RNAcentral is "tRNA-Tyr". Lineage: Bacteria; Bacillati; Actinomycetota; Actinomycetes; Kitasatosporales; Streptomycetaceae. The record is from RNAcentral.
GCCCCAGGAUCGGGCGCGGAUUCGAACUUGUAAAGCGAAGGUCGUCGGUUCGAAUCCGACAGGGGGCUCCA